AGUGAACGCUGGCGGUAGGCCUAACACAUGCAAGUCGAACGGCAGCACAGUAAGAGCUUGCUCUUACGGGUGGCGAGUGGCGGACGGGUGAGGAAUACAUCGGAAUCUACUUUUUCGUGGGGGAUAACGUAGGGAAACUUACGCUAAUACCGCAUACGACCUACGGGUGAAAGCAGUGGAUCUUCGGACCUUGCGCGAUUGAAUGAGACGAUGUCGGAUUAGCUAGUUGGGGGGGUAAAGGCCCACCAAGGCGACGAUCCGUAGCUGGUCUGAGAGGAUGAUCAGCCACACUGGAACUGAGACACGGUCCAGACUCCUACGGGAGGCAGCAGUGGGGAAUCUUGGACAAUGGGCGCAAGCCUGAUCCAGCCAUGCCGCGUGGGUGAAGAAGGCCUUCGGGUUGUAAAGCCCUUUUGUUGGGAAAGAAAAGCAGCAGGUUAAUCCCCCGCUGUUCUGACGGUACCCAAAGAGUAAGCACCGGCUAACUUCGUG
This 492-nucleotide ribosomal RNA is filed under the name uncultured bacterium. RNAcentral describes it as "partial 16S ribosomal RNA". It matches the Rfam family "Bacterial small subunit ribosomal RNA", at positions 29 to 507 of the family's 1533-position model. The record is from RNAcentral.